Molecule: ribosomal RNA, 2931 nt
Filed under: Escherichia coli
Lineage: Bacteria; Pseudomonadati; Pseudomonadota; Gammaproteobacteria; Enterobacterales; Enterobacteriaceae
Description: 23S ribosomal RNA
Rfam family: Bacterial large subunit ribosomal RNA
Source: RNAcentral
GGGUUGUGAGGUUAAGCGACUAAGCGUACACGGUGGAUGCCCUGGCAGUCAGAGGCGAUGAAGGACGUGCUAAUCUGCGAUAAGCGUCGGUAAGGUGAUAUGAACCGUUAUAACCGGCGAUUUCCGAAUGGGGAAACCCAGUGUGUUUCGACACACUAUCAUUAACUGAAUCCAUAGGUUAAUGAGGCGAACCGGGGGAACUGAAACAUCUAAGUACCCCGAGGAAAAGAAAUCAACCGAGAUUCCCCCAGUAGCGGCGAGCGAACGGGGAGCAGCCCAGAGCCUGAAUCAGUGUGUGUGUUAGUGGAAGCGUCUGGAAAGGCGCGCGAUACAGGGUGACAGCCCCGUACACAAAAAUGCACAUGCUGUGAGCUCGAUGAGUAGGGCGGGACACGUGGUAUCCUGUCUGAAUAUGGGGGACCAUCCUCCAAGGCUAAAUACUCCUGACUGACCGAUAGUGAACCAGUACCGUGAGGGAAAGGCGAAAAGAACCCCGGCGAGGGGAGUGAAAAAGAACCUGAAACCGUGUACGUACAAGCAGUGGGAGCACGCUUAGGCGUGUGACUGCGUACCUUUUGUAUAAUGGGUCAGCGACUUAUAUUCUGUAGCAAGGUUAACCGAAUAGGGGAGCCGAAGGGAAACCGAGUCUUAACUGGGCGUUAAGUUGCAGGGUAUAGACCCGAAACCCGGUGAUCUAGCCAUGGGCAGGUUGAAGGUUGGGUAACACUAACUGGAGGACCGAACCGACUAAUGUUGAAAAAUUAGCGGAUGACUUGUGGCUGGGGGUGAAAGGCCAAUCAAACCGGGAGAUAGCUGGUUCUCCCCGAAAGCUAUUUAGGUAGCGCCUCGUGAAUUCAUCUCCGGGGGUAGAGCACUGUUUCGGCAAGGGGGUCAUCCCGACUUACCAACCCGAUGCAAACUGCGAAUACCGGAGAAUGUUAUCACGGGAGACACACGGCGGGUGCUAACGUCCGUCGUGAAGAGGGAAACAACCCAGACCGCCAGCUAAGGUCCCAAAGUCAUGGUUAAGUGGGAAACGAUGUGGGAAGGCCCAGACAGCCAGGAUGUUGGCUUAGAAGCAGCCAUCAUUUAAAGAAAGCGUAAUAGCUCACUGGUCGAGUCGGCCUGCGCGGAAGAUGUAACGGGGCUAAACCAUGCACCGAAGCUGCGGCAGCGACGCUUAUGCGUUGUUGGGUAGGGGAGCGUUCUGUAAGCCUGUGAAGGUGUGCUGUGAGGCAUGCUGGAGGUAUCAGAAGUGCGAAUGCUGACAUAAGUAACGAUAAAGCGGGUGAAAAGCCCGCUCGCCGGAAGACCAAGGGUUCCUGUCCAACGUUAAUCGGGGCAGGGUGAGUCGACCCCUAAGGCGAGGCCGAAAGGCGUAGUCGAUGGGAAACAGGUUAAUAUUCCUGUACUUGGUGUUACUGCGAAGGGGGACGGAGAAGGCUAUGUUGGCCGGGCGACGGUUGUCCCGGUUUAAGCGUGUAGGCUGGUUUUCCAGGCAAAUCCGGAAAAUCAAGGCUGAGGCGUGAUGACGAGGCACUACGGUGCUGAAGCAACAAAUGCCCUGCUUCCAGGAAAAGCCUCUAAGCAUCAGGUAACAUCAAAUCGUACCCCAAACCGACACAGGUGGUCAGGUAGAGAAUACCAAGGCGCUUGAGAGAACUCGGGUGAAGGAACUAGGCAAAAUGGUGCCGUAACUUCGGGAGAAGGCACGCUGAUAUGUAGGUGAAGUCCCUCGCGGAUGGAGCUGAAAUCAGUCGAAGAUACCAGCUGGCUGCAACUGUUUAUUAAAAACACAGCACUGUGCAAACACGAAAGUGGACGUAUACGGUGUGACGCCUGCCCGGUGCCGGAAGGUUAAUUGAUGGGGUUAGCCGCAAGGCGAAGCUCUUGAUCGAAGCCCCGGUAAACGGCGGCCGUAACUAUAACGGUCCUAAGGUAGCGAAAUUCCUUGUCGGGUAAGUUCCGACCUGCACGAAUGGCGUAAUGAUGGCCAGGCUGUCUCCACCCGAGACUCAGUGAAAUUGAACUCGCUGUGAAGAUGCAGUGUACCCGCGGCAAGACGGAAAGACCCCGUGAACCUUUACUAUAGCUUGACACUGAACAUUGAGCCUUGAUGUGUAGGAUAGGUGGGAGGCUUAGAAGUGUGGACGCCAGUCUGCAUGGAGCCGACCUUGAAAUACCACCCUUUAAUGUUUGAUGUUCUAACGUUGACCCGUAAUCCGGGUUGCGGACAGUGUCUGGUGGGUAGUUUGACUGGGGCGGUCUCCUCCUAAAGAGUAACGGAGGAGCACGAAGGUUGGCUAAUCCUGGUCGGACAUCAGGAGGUUAGUGCAAUGGCAUAAGCCAGCUUGACUGCGAGCGUGACGGCGCGAGCAGGUGCGAAAGCAGGUCAUAGUGAUCCGGUGGUUCUGAAUGGAAGGGCCAUCGCUCAACGGAUAAAAGGUACUCCGGGGAUAACAGGCUGAUACCGCCCAAGAGUUCAUAUCGACGGCGGUGUUUGGCACCUCGAUGUCGGCUCAUCACAUCCUGGGGCUGAAGUAGGUCCCAAGGGUAUGGCUGUUCGCCAUUUAAAGUGGUACGCGAGCUGGGUUUAGAACGUCGUGAGACAGUUCGGUCCCUAUCUGCCGUGGGCGCUGGAGAACUGAGGAGGGCUGCUCCUAGUACGAGAGGACCGGAGUGGACGCAUCACUGGUGUUCGGGUUGUCAUGCCAAUGGCACUGCCCGGUAGCUAAAUGCGGAAGAGAUAAGUGCUGAAAGCAUCUAAGCACGAAACUUGCCCCGAGAUGAGUUCUCCCUGACUCCUUGAGAGUCCUGAAGGAACGUUGAAGACGACGACGUUGAUAGGCCGGGUGUGUAAGCGCAGCGAUGCGUUGAGCUAACCGGUACUAAUGAACCGUGAGGCUUAACCUUACAACGCCGAAGGUGUUU